Molecule: long non-coding RNA, 3404 nt
Organism: Nyctereutes procyonoides (raccoon dog)
Lineage: Eukaryota; Metazoa; Chordata; Mammalia; Carnivora; Canidae
Exons: 5
Source: RefSeq, a predicted model, not a curated record
AAGUAGAGCAGAUUCAAGGAUCCUCUGCCAAGGGGAAGACCUGCUGGGGACAACAGAUGCCCGUCUCAACGCCCUGCCUUCUCCUUGCCAUGUCUUUCUGUCAGCCCCAACGCUGCAGCCUCUGCUCCCUUGGCAGCAGGUUCAUGAGAAAGCGUGUGAGGUAAUAUUUUUGAUGAGUCGGAAAGCUGCCUGUGGAAGAAGCUGACUCCUGGAUGGCUCUAGGGUGACAUACCUGUGUGACUGUAUGUCAGAUUUUAUUCAUAUACUUGCACCAAAACUAUAUACUUACGACGUUGGAAGCAGAUGAGAAUCCAACUGCCUUUUAUGAAGCCAGACUGAGGAGUGUUGGUCUGACUCCCCGGGUCCAGCCUGCAGCUGGCACAUGUCCGCUGCUGCCACAGUGGCCAUGAGAAGUGUGUCUAGGUUGCAAGAUGGAAGCUCGUGUUUGUUUAAGAAGGAGCCUGAUGACAUCACGUUGGCCUCAUCCUCCAGAAGGCUCAGGAGCCCGUGAAAGAGCACAGCCUUCCUGCUCCAUCAAUGUAGACCUAACACAAAGAUUUCUGUCUUUGGGUCUGAUUUCAAGCAGAAGAAACCUGGCAUGAGAAUCAAAUGCGUCCUUUGGACCACAGAGGGGAGGAAGAAAAACAGCCUUGGCUGGCGUCUCUUGGCCUCUGAAACGGUUCUCACGGGCUCUGUGUGUGCCUUCCUGCUACCCUUAAAAUGCUGGCAUUUGUUCUGCGGUUCGGGCCUCUUUCCUCUCAUGGGAUCAUUUGCCCGGGGGCUGAAGGGAGAAAAGACAGAAGGAGGUGAAGACAACCAGGCUGCAAGAAAGAGUAAAAGUCUAAGAGACCUGCCCGCACCCCCCAACCAUGGUGAGCCCGCCUCCUCGGCUGCACAGCUUGCUCAAGACACGGCCCUGAAAUGAAAGCCAGAAUGCAUGAAUGCACCCGCCCCUGAGAGGCUCGACUUGCCCUUCCACGCCCGCUUGUGCCAAACCUGGUGUUUCCAUCCAGAGGUUAUGGGUGUGCCUCCAGGAAUUGGGUGGUGAUCAAGAGCACGGUCCUGGAUGGGGACGCCCUGGGUGUAAGCACCAGCUCUACCACUUAUUAGCUAUGCGGCCUCUGACAGUGAUCUGACCACUCUCUGCCUCAGUUUCUUCGUUUGUAAAUGGGAGUGGAGGUCUUGCUUCUCAGGGCUGUCGUGAGGGUUCAGCUGUGCUGUGUAGAGGCCUCAGAACAACGCCAGGCACACAGUGUUAAAUGCGUGCUUAUCACUGUCAUCAUCAUCAUCUGUAUUUAUUACGCUCAUUUGCUGCUUCUUUCUCUUCUAUGUAAAUGGAAGCUAUAAUUAGCAUGCACAAGUUACAAUUUAUUUUCAUGUUGGUACGCCUUAAAAAAGUCUCCCAGGUUUAAAGUAACUUCUCAAGUUGAACAUUCCUUUAAAAAAAAAAAAAAGAUUUAUUGACUUAUUUGAGACAGAGAGAAAGAGAGAGGAGCAGACUCCCCGCUGAGCAGGGAGCCCGACGUGGGGCUCGAUCCCAGGACCCUGAGAUCACGAUCUAAGCUGAAGGCAGACACUUCACUGACUGAGCCACCGAAGUGCCCUUCAUGUUGAAUAUUCCUUAAAUAUAACUUCUCCUUCCUGGGGCUCAGAGUUGACCAUCAUAGCCUGGAUGCCCUAACCAUCUGAUAUGAACAUUUGGGUGGUGAAUGAGUGAUUAAAGUUUUAACACAGAACGUUAAGUUCAGCAUCAUUUAAUAAAUGUGCAGCCAUGGCCAUUUCUUGUGGUAGUGGGGGUCUAGAGGAUAAUCUGGAUAGAUGGAAGACACCAAUAAUCCCCAGGCCUCAUUUGGCCAGGACUUUAUUAUCUUUCUCUCGUUAGGCUUUAUGAUUUUUUUCCUCACCUAGAACUCCAGACAGAUGUUUUAAUGACUGGCUUUGGACGGUCCUCCUUGUCCAUCCCUGCUGUGUGUUCUGGGGCUGCCCUGAGAAGCAGCAGGCAGCCUGGAAUAUCUCCCCUUUGGACAAAGAGCUGGUGGGCAAUUGAAGGUUAACUUACCUCUGAAGGAAACCCAGUUUCACUACCAAGAUACCAGGAGAACACUCUCAUUUAAAUAAAACAUGUAGCCGAAUCCCGUUCAAAUUAGCCAAGGGGUUUGGUCCGUGACACCAGGGCCUGGGGAUAUCAGAGAAAGCAAGUGUCAUUUUCCUGGAUUAGAUGGAGCCAGACACAGUUAAUUAAUUGCUUACAUUUUCACAAGCUGGCUGGGAUAGGAUAGCAUGGGGUGGAGUAGGUGGGUAGACUAACCUCCAUGCCCUGCCUCCAAAGCCCUGCAAUCAGGUUCAAACUUGGGCUCAUCUGUUCAACAAAAUAAUUGAGCCAUUCACAGUUUCAGGCACUGAAGAUACAUACAGUAAUGAACAAAAUAGAUAAGAUGCCCGCCCUCAUAGAGGUUAAUCUAGAGAGAGAGGCCACAAACAAGUGACAUUUAUAUACAUAUAAUAUGAUUUCACACGGUGGAUCAAUGAAGAAAAAAGAAGCAGAACAAAGGGUAGAGAAGGAAGGAAAUGCAUAACUACGUAGAUGAGGUGGUAAUAGGGAGCUCUGAAAACUGUUGUCAGUUUGGAAGCAAGUCAUGGGAUGAUCUGGGUAAGAGGGAAUAGCAGGUGCAAAGGCCCGGAGGGGCAACAGAGCCUGGCACUCUGAAGGAAUGAUUAGAAGGCUAACAUAAGUCGUGACAUUUUAGUCAUAGCAUGAUAGUAUCUGUCCUCCCACUUCAUCCAGUUUUAUUUGAUGUCUGAUUUUCCUACACAGCAUCCCUUGUAGUGAGCACCCAGCUUCUGCCCUAGAGUCAGUGAUGGACUCACCUUCCUGACGAAGCUAUUUUCAGACAGCUUAUUGCUAAUACUUGGUUCUACAAACGGAAAGUCCUUCAGCCCUCCCAAAGCUUCCAGGCACUUGUUCUUGUUUAAUCACAUUGAAAUACACAAUAUAAGUCUGAUUCCUUUUCCAUAAGACAGGCUUUCAAUUAUUUGGAGACGGGCAUCUUAUCCCUCCAUGUCGUUUCUUAAUAAGCAAGACAGUUCCUUCAACUGUUCUUUGUAUAGUUUGGUUUUAAGUUCCUUUACUUUGCUGGUGGAUCUCCCUGAAAUAUAUUCCAGAUUGCAUGCUUCUCUCCUACAGUGUGGAACCCAGAAACAAAUGCAAAGAUCCGGGCAUGACCUGGGCAGCAGAGUACAGGGUGACCAGGCCCUCCUUCAUGACAGAUUCUUGACUUUCAUGGUGCUUUGUCAUUUUCAGGUAGUUUUGUGGUUUGUUUGUUUGUUUGUUUUUUGCAACCACAUUGCUUUUAAUUGAGAUUGAAUUAAUUGUUGACGAAAACUCUCAAAGCUCUUUUUUUUUU